This 110-nucleotide ribosomal RNA is filed under the name Amphilophus citrinellus (Midas cichlid). Lineage: Eukaryota; Metazoa; Chordata; Actinopteri; Cichliformes; Cichlidae. The record is from RNAcentral.
AUUUAUAUUUAUCAUCUAAAAUAAAGACCUGUCCAAUCGUGGAAGCUAAGCAGGUUGGGCCUGGUUAGUACUUGGAUGGGAGACUGUGGGAAUAGCAAGCGCUGUAAGCU